AUUUCAUCGAUGUCAACUGGUUGUUAGACGGCCUGCUGCUCAGUCACGAAGCUAACGCGUGAAGUUGACCGCCUGGGGAGUUCGGCCGCAAGGUUGAAACUCAAAGGAAUUGACGGGGACCCGCACAAGCGGUGGAUGAUGUGGUUUAAUUCGAUGCAACGCGAAAAACCUUACCUACCCUUGACAUGCUAGGAAUUCUGCAGAGAUGUGGAAGUGCUCGAAAGAGAACCUAGACACAGGUGCUGCAUGGCCGUCGUCAGCUCGUGUCGUGAGAUGUUGGGUUAAGUCCCGCAACGAGCGCAACCCUUGUCAUUAGUUGCUACGAAAGGGCACUCUAAUGAGACUGCCGGUGACAAACCGGAGGAAGGCGGGACGACGAA
RNAcentral lists this ribosomal RNA (380 nucleotides) under uncultured bacterium. RNAcentral's name for it is "bacterial SSU rRNA". It matches the Rfam family "Bacterial small subunit ribosomal RNA", at positions 800 to 1186 of the family's 1533-position model. The record is from RNAcentral.